Molecule: long non-coding RNA, 10877 nt
Filed under: Lynx pardinus (Iberian lynx)
Lineage: Eukaryota; Metazoa; Chordata; Mammalia; Carnivora; Felidae
Source: RNAcentral
UCUGGAGGAAGGCCCCCGAUUCCAGAUGUUUAUGUCCGCAAGUUAAGCAAAUGUGAAAGCACCCGAGUGGAACUUUCUCAUGCAUUGGUGCACCUUCAGGUGGGAGGGGACGCUGUGUCCUCACUCCACUCAGGAGGGUGGGCACCCCUGGGAUCCAGUGAGGGGUCCAGGACUUCAGGUUUACAUCUUGGUCCGGGGCUUUGGCCCCCGAGGCUACCACGCGAGAACCAGGCCCAGGUCACUCGCAGGGCCACUUCACUGGGACCGUCUCACCGCCGCGCAAGUCCGACCGCGGGAUCCUCGCACCGUUCAGUGUGCGGUUUGCCCUUUGAUCUCCAGACAUUUAAGUAUUCACCAGGAAGCAUGUAUACAGAAAAGUGCGCAAACCAGGAGUCUGGAACGAGACGAAUAGCCACAGAGUAAGCACACCCGCGUUGCUGCCUCUGGGUCCAGAAGAACACUUCUCUGAAAGCUUCCCUCCCUUCCCUAAGGCAACCACGAAUCCAGCACCCUAGAUUAGUUUUGCUGGCUUUUGAUAUAAAUAGAAUCAUGCAGUGUACUUCCGUGCCUGGUUUCUUUGUCUUUGUAUUAUGCCUGGAAUCCAUCCAGGUUACAUACAGCAAUGGUUUGUUUACUUUCGCUGCUGUAUAGAAUUCCGUUGUUUAUUUUAUACCAUAACUUAGCUAUUCUGCUAUUGGUGGACACUAGGGUUGUUUCUUUUGGGAGCUAUUCAGAAUAAUGCUGUUACGUAUUUUCUUGUACAUGGAUCCAAUGCUCACGUGCCUGAGUUUCUCCAGGAGUAGAACUUCUGGGACAUAGAGUAUGAUAUCAUCAAUAGGUAAUGCCUGUUUCAGCCAAGAGGCUGAAAUAAUACACAUAACUCUAUAGCGGUGUGUAAGGGUUUCCAUGGCUUCGAACCUCAGGCUCAUUGUCAUUGUCAGUAGUUUUAAUUGUGGGGCUUCUGGUGGGUGGGUAGUGGUAUUGCCCUGUUGUUUUGAUUAGCUUUUCUCUAAUAACUAAUGAAGUUGAGGACCUUUUCAUGUAUAUUGUCUAUUCGGAUAUCUUUUGCGAAGUGACCAAUUUUUUUUUUCCUAGUGGAUUGUCGCCUUUUUCCUACCGACUUACAGGAUUUCUUUAUAUGCUCUGCAUAUGAGCACACUCUGUAGCUUGCCUUUGCACUUUGUUGUUGUUGUUUGUUGUUGUUGUUGUUGUUGUUGCUGUUGUUGUUAUUGUUAAAACUGCUUAAAUACAAAAGAAUUCACAGAGACCAGAAAUACUAUCCUUGUACAUGUCACCUAUGCUGCAAACUACAAAUUGUAGUCCAUUUUGGUCUGUUUAGGGUAACAUCCUAUUCCCCAAAUCACCAAAUCAUAAUCAGGGCUGCAAUUCAGAUCAAAAGACUACAAAAAUGGCCUCCUCACCCAUUUUGCAAUGGGAACAAGCUUUCAAAUGGUCCAUUUUAAGAGGAGUCAUCAGAGGAAAAACUUCUUAGCUCAGGAAGCCCUAUCCAUUGACUACCUUUUGUCCUUUUUCUUGUAGGGGGAAAGUUACACUGUGGUCAGGUAGGUCUAGGACAGGAAGUUUUUCUGCGUACUGGCCUUUCCAUUCUUAAUGGUGUUGUUUGAUGACUAGAAGUUUCUAAUUUUUAUGUAAUUCAAUUCAUCUUUUCUGGUUAGAGGGCUGUGUGUCUGUGCAUGUACCCUCAAAUAUUUUUCUUUGUUGUCUACUAGAGGCUUCAUUGUUUUACCUUUCACAUGUAGUUCUGCAGUCCCCCUGGAAUUGAUUCUUUUUGAGCUUUUUGAACAGAAUGCAAACCAAACACACCCAAGUAACUGGUAUCCUGAUCAAGAACAGGACUUUGCCACAUUCUAGAACCUCCCUUCUUGUCCUUUCAGUCAUACACUUGCCCCAAUGGUAACCACAUCUUACAUAGAUUGGUUUUGCUUAAUUUUGUAUUUAUGCAAAUGAAAUUGUACCUUAUGUAUAUCUUGCUUAACAUUAUAUUUGUGUGUAGAUGUAGUUAAUUUAUAAUCAUUGUUACAUAGCAUUUCAUUGUGUGAAUAUAAUUUAUCCAUUCUGCUGUUUAUGAACUUUUGGGUGAUUUCCAGUUUGAGCUAUUAUAAGUACUGCACCUAUUAAUAUUAUAAUACAUAUCUUUAACUGAACACAUAUACUAAUAUAUACAUGGAAAUGGAAUUGCUGGGUCAUAGGGUUAACUUACAUUCAGCUUAAGUAGGUUCUACUAGUUUUGCAAAGUGGUUGUACCAGUUUACAUUCCUUAUUGGUAUUGUCAGUCUUUUUAUUUUUAUAAUUUAUUUUAAUGUUUGUUUAUUUUUAUACUUUUUUAAUGUUUAUUUUAUUUAUUUUUGAGAGAGAGAGAGAGAGAGAGUGAAUGUGAGCAGGGGAGGGGCAGAGAGAGAGGGAGACACAGAAUCAGAAGCAUGCUCCAGGCUCUGAGCUGUCAGCAUAAAGCCCCACUGGGCUCAAACUCAUGAACCGUGAGAUCAUGACCUGAGCUGGAGUUGGAUACUUAACCGGGUAUUGUCUGUCUUUUUAAUUUUAGGCAUUCUAGUGGGCUAAUAGUGGUAUUGCAAUGUGGUUUUAAUUGUAUUUGCCUAAGUACUAACACAGUUAGUAUUUAAAAAAUAUAUUAAAUAUAUUUUAAAAAAUAUAUUGUCCAUUUGGAUCACUUCUUUUGUGAAGUGUCUGGUAAGUGUUUUGCACAUUUUUCUAUUGGGCUGUUCUUUUUUGCUGAUUUGUAGAUUUUUAUAUUUUUUGGAUAUGAGUUCUUGUGAGAUACAUGUAUAGUGAAUGUGUUCCCUUUCUCUGUGGCUUGCCUUUCACUCUCUUAAUGGUGUCUUUUGAUGAACAGAAGUUCUUAAUUUUAAUAUAGUGUAAUUUAUGAACUUUUCCCUUAUGUGGUUAAAUGUUCUUUUGAGUCCUUUUUAAGUAAUUUUUCCACCCCCAAAUCAUGAAUAUUUCCUUAUGGAAAUUUUGUUGUUUCACCUUUCACAUUUAGAUUUGUAAUCCAUCUAGAAUAGAUUUUUGUGUAUGGUCUGAGGGAGGGAUCAAGAUAUAUUUUUCCCCAUAUGGAGAUUCAUUUGACCCAGAAUCAUUUAUUGUAAAUGCUCUGCAUUGCCAGCUUUUUCAUAAAUUAAGUGUCCAAAUAUGUGAAGGUCUUGUGGACUGGCUAUUCUGUUGUGUGGGUUUAGUUGCCUACCAACUAUUCUUGCAUAAUAUCAUACUGUCACUUAAAAACUUGAUAUUUGCCUUUAAAAAGGGGUUACUUUUAGGGGCGCCUGGGUGGCGCAGUCGGUUAAGCGUCCGACUUCAGCCAGGUCACGAUCUCGCGGUCCGUGAGUUCGAGCCCCGCGUCAGGCUCUGGGCUGAUGGCUCAGAGCCUGGAGCCUGUUUCUGAUUCUGUGUCUCCCUCUCUCUCUGCCCCUCCCCCGUUCAUGCUAUGUCUCUCUCUGUCCCAAAAAUAAAUAAAAACAUUGAAAAAAAAUUAAAAAAAAUAAAAAGGGGUUACUUUUUUCCAAGAUUGUCGUGGUUAUUGUUGCACUUUGCAUUUUGGUAUAAAUUUUAGGUACAUCUUGCAUCUAAGAAAGAAAUUAUGCUUUGAUUUAUGUUGUAUUGGCUCCAUAGAUAAGCUUGGAGAAUUAAUAUAUUUACAAUAUUGGGCAUUCCAAUCCAUGAACAUGGUAUAACCUUACAUAUAUUUAGAUUGUAUUUAAUUUCUCUUAGUGUUGGGGUGCCUGGGUGGCUCAGUUGGUUGAGCGUCUGACUUUGUCUCUGGUCAUGAUCUCGCUGGGUUUGUGAGUUUGAGCCCCGCGUCAGGCUCUGUGCUAACAGCUCAGAGCCUGGAGCCUCCUUCAGAUUCUGUGUCUCCUCCUCUCUCUGCCCCUCCCAUGCUCAUGCUCUGUCUCUCUCUGUCUCUCAAUAAUAAAUAAACGUUAAAAAAAUUUUUAAAAAUUUCUCUUAGUGUUUUAUAAUUUUUUGGUGUAGAGGUCUUACACUUCUACUAGAUCUAUUCUAGGUAUAUGAUAGUUAAAACAAUUUUUUUUUAAGUUUAUUCAUUUAUUUUGGGAGAGGGAGAGCACAAACAGGGGAGAGGCAUAGUGAGGGAGAGAGAAUUCCAACCAGGUUCCAUGCUAUCGGUGCAGAAGCUUGAUGCAGGGCUUGAUCCCAUGAACCAUGAGAUCAUGACCUGAGCUGAAACCAAGAGUCAGACGCCUAAGCAUCUAAGCUAACCAGGUACCCCAGUAUAUGAUAGUUUUUGAUGCUGUUGUAAAUAGUAUCUUCUGCUAAAACAAAAUCCAAUGUUGUAAUCAUUAGUUUCUGGUACAUUGAAAUAUAGUUGAUUUAUAGUUGAAAUACAAUUAAUACUAGCAUUGUGUCUGACAGUCUUGCUAAAUUCACUUACUAGUUGUAAUAUUUUAAUAGUUUAGAACCAUUCUUUUGGAUUUUCUAUGUACGUAACCACACUAUGUGACAAUAAUGAUGGCUUUAUUUCUUUCCAAUUCUUACACUUGUUCUUUAUUUCUUGCCUUGUUUUUACUGGCUGAGAUCUUCAGCACACUGUUGGACAGUGGUAAAAGCAGACAUCCUUUGGCAGGCCUCACAUCAUAGGUAUGGGCGGGACCCCUAACCAAGCAAUCCAUGUAAAUAUCACCAAUAAUGGAACAAAUCAAAAUCAUGAUUCAGUUACUAGAAUGCAAUUAGAAGAACAUGGCAUCACUUCUGUGAGAUUCCUACUGAAGAUGCAUGACCUGAAUGGAAAUGUGAGGAAACCUCAGAUAAACACAAACUGAGGGACAGCCUACAAAUAACUAGCCUGCAGUCUUUGAAAGGCUCAAGGUCAUGAAAGUCAGGGAACUGAUGAAUUGUUCUAGAUUGAAGAAGACUAGAAGUUCUAGAUUAUAGAGACAUGAUGACUAAAUGCAAAGAGUGACCUAAAGAGGAUCCUUUUGCCAAGAGCAUUCAUUAUUGGGACAAUUUGCAAAAUUUGAAUCCAGUCAGAGGAUUAGACGGUAGUAAUACAUCAAUGUUAACUUCCUGAUUCUGAUGGCUAUGUAUAAGAUCCUUGUUUAUAGGAAAAUAAAGUAUUUUCUGAAGUAUUUUGGAGGUAAUAGGGUAUCAUAUCAGUAACUUACUCUCAAAUUGUUCAGGAAAACAUUUCUUGGUUCUUUACUCGCAACUUUCUUAUAAUUUUGCUUUGAGAUUGUCUCAAAAUAGAGAAGUUAAAACAAAAUAAUCUCAAACACUUAAUUCCAGAGAGGACCACCAGGUGGAGUCCUUAGACCAGAGAGCCAGUUUUACUUGGCUCUUCAGUUCUGGAUUAAAAGAAGGGGUUUCUUUGAUAAGGGAAAGAAAGCUCUUUCAUCUGAGCUGCCAACAUGCCAUCCAGACUGAGGAAGACCCAGGAACUUCAGGGCCACUUAAGCCACAGCCACGGCCACAUCAGCAAGCACCGGAAGCACCCAGGAAGCCAGGGUAAUGCUGGUGGUAUGUAUCACCAUCGAAUCAACUUCAAAUAAAUACCAGCCAGGUUACUUUGGAAAAGCUGGUAUGAGGCAUUACCACGUGAAGAGGAACCAGAGCUCUGCUGAACUGUCAACCUUGAUAAACUGGACCUCAGUCAGUGAGCAGACACGGGUAAAUGCUGCAGAAAGAAGGGGCACCUGGGUGACUCAGUCGGUUAGUGUCCGACUUCGGCUCAGGUCACGAUGAUCACAGUUUGUGGGUUCCAGCCCUGCGUGGGGCUCUGGGCUGACAGCUCGGAGCCUGGAGCCUGCUUCAGAUUCUGUGUCUCCCUCUCUCUUUGACCCUACCCUGCUCACACUUUAUCUUUCUCUCUCAAAAAUAAAUAAACAUUUAAAAAAAUACUGCCAGAAACAAAACAGGAGCUGCUCCUGUUGUUGAUGUGGUGCGAUUGCACAACUACAAAGUUUUGGGAAAGGGAAAGUUCCCAAAGCAGCUUGUCACCUGAAGGGCAAAUUCUUCAGUGGAAGAGCUGAGGAGAUUCAGAGUGUGGGAGGAGCCUGUCCUGGUAGCUUGAAGCCACUUGGAGGGAGGUUCAUUAAAUACUAAUAAGUGCUUUAAAAAAAUAAAUAAAUAAAGGAAAGUUGUAUGGGUUUCCUUUGCUUCAGCACAUGAACAGGGAUAUAAACUGUAGGUGGUUUUAUUCAUUUUAGGAUAUCCCUAUGAAGUUGAGAAUAGAGUACCUUUUUUUAUUUCAUUUCUUUUGGGUAGGGUUUCUUAACCUCAGCACUGUUGACAUUUUGGGGCUAAAUACUUCUUUAUCGUGGAGCUACCUGUGCACUAUAAGAUGUUUAACAGUAUCCCUGGCUUCUACUCAUGUCAGUACAUACCUCCAAUUGUGACAACCAAAAAUGUCUCUAGACAUUGACAUGUAUUCCCUAGGAGACAAAAAUCAACAGGUUGAGAACCGCUGUUUUUGGCAACAGAAUGUUCUCUGCUCUGAGCACUUUGGUUCCUCUGUGCUUAGCAGGGAGCCUAGGAGGUAUCUGAUCAUGCCUAAUGUGGCUGGUACAUAGUGUGUGUGUGUCGGGGCAGGAGGAAGCAUUGGGUGGUGGGAACUGAACCCCAGGACCUGGAGUUCUGGUAGGUGCUCAGUGCUGUAUCACCUAGCGGUACUGUUCUGUGCACAGACAAGCCACAGAGACUGGUGUGUUGGGAAAGGCCUUGGGCAACCAGUCAGGAUAAGACCUGGGUUCAAGGAGGGAAAGCGGCAGAGAAGGCUGGGGUAGGAGGCAGACUUCUUUCCCACAGCAGCCAGAACCCCAAUGCCUCCUAGCUCUACAGGCAGAGCCUUAAGAUGCUGGAGAACGGCCUUGGUUUCCCAUUAUCCCUGCUUGUUCCCAUUCAGAUGACCUUCUUUCUUUCUACUUUACUUCUCCACCUCCUCCCCUUUUCGUCCUCUGAUCUGGACCUCUACCCCCCACCUGCUCGCAGGGGCCCCAGCAUACCUUAAGCAUUCAAGGUUAAGGCUCUCUUCAGCCAUAUUAUGGUGAUUCAAAUGCAGUGGAUGGUAGUCUCCCCAAAUUCAAGAGCGCUCUAGUGCUGGCCAUAUUUAGACCAUGUUGCCCUUUUGGUUUCUUUAAAGUUCAAUUAUGCCCCCAUCCCCAACCCCUUUCUAUCGUAGGUGUAUCUUCUGUAAAAAGUGCAGUUUUCCCCAGCCCUUUGAAGAGUUACAAAGUAUACUUUGUAGUGGCCUGGGCGGGAUACAGAUGAGCACAUGGGGACCACUGUGAGGUGCCAAAGAAUUUGGGGACAAGGUCAGAAACUAUCACCUCCUGGAAAUAGAGCCAGUUUGAAACAAAUGGGUCAUGGCUGAAUUUGGCCAACUGCAGAAUCAACUUCCCCUCUGGCAGAGAGCCAGCCUCCCUACCUGGGGAUGAGGGAGCCACCUUGCCAGUGUGUGGCCUAACACAAGUCACUUCACCUCCAUGAGCCUCAGUCUGUGAAACAACAGAUUUAGAGGAGGUGAUCCAUGACUUUACCACGUAAAACAAAAUCCAUAAACAUGUCCUGCCCCUACUGAGUCCAAAUAUCCUUGAGGUUGGGUGAUUUGUGCACAGGCAUUUGAUGGGGUCAGUCCUUUUUAACAAGGUGGUGUUUUGUCCUUAGGAUUUUGUGAACGGCUUCUCAGCUUGCCACCACCCUCAUCAGCCCCAGGACCAGCGGCCCACCCACUGCGAGGAGGGUACAUGUGCUCUGGGGCUGCUUGGUUGGCUUUUUGUAGCUGGUCUGCUUUGGGAAUAAAAGGAAUUUCUGAUUCAGCUCCAAACAUGUUAGACCAUAGUUCUCCAUGUUCAAAGAGCUCUAGGAGCAAAAAUGGUGCCUUGCACAAGAAGCACCUAGCAAUCUUUGGUUUUAAAUUUUUUUUUAAGUUUAUUAAUUUUGAGAGAGAGACAGCAUGAGUGGGGGAGGGGCAGAGAGAGAGAGAAUCUCAAGCAUGUUCCGCACUGUCAGCACAGAGCCCUACUCGGGGCUCAAACCCACAAAACCAUGAGAUCAUGACCAAAAGUUGGACACUUAACCAACUGAGCCACCCAAGCGUCCCAGCAAUUGCUGGUUUCAAUGAGAUGUUAGUCUUAUGGGGGAAGUUGAACCCUUAUCAAUAUUCUGCCCAGCUCUGGCUACUGUCUCCCAAACACACUCAUUCCUUCGUUGCCUCACCUUGACAGCUCCAGUCGGUUGAUGCUUAUGGUGGGCAGCUAUCGGGUUGUGUGGCCUACCUACCCCUACAUUCUAAGAGCUGCACAUCGCUCCCCUCCUCCAGCUCUGAGGUCGCCGGAAAGUUCCUGCAGCCGUGUUCUGCUGUGCAAACCUGUGUCUGUGGCACAGCUGAUGGGGCUGGAUGAACACUGAUGCAAAGCAGGGUUACCAGGGCCAAGCAGCAGAUUCAGAAACCGUGCUUAGGGAGUUUGAGUUGCACCAGUUUCGCUUGGAGAUGUCAGUGGUCUCAUUUGCCCCAACUGGAGAGUGAGGAGGACAUGCUAUGGUGCAAUGAAGGUCCUGGUGACAUUUAAUGCUGGCACCAGAGUUCCCAUGGCCCAGCUGCACCCUUCCUGGAACUCGGCGUCAACCCCGGAUUCCUAAAACAAUGCCCCUCACCCACUUUUGUUUUUUUCCUAGCCAUAAUUGUAAAUAAAAACCAAAAAUAUGGGGCGCCUGGGUGGCUCAGUUGGUUAAGUGUCUGACUCUUGGUUUUGGCUCAGUUCAUGAUCUCACGGUUAUGUGAGCUCGAGCCCCACUUGGGAUUCUUUCUCUCUCUCCCUGUCUCUCUGCCCCUCCCCCGCUUCUGUCCCCUCUCUCUCUCUCAAAAUAAAUAAAUAAACGUUAAAAAAAAUUGCUGGAUUCCCAACAAGUACAAGCUUCUGACCUCAAAGAGAGGCCAUGGUAACAGUCCUAUGGAACACAAAACCCAUGGGUGCAGGGAUUUCAGUCACUUUGAAAGAUAAGCUGUGACCUAAUUAAGUCACACUGGGCAGCUGUAAGUGAAGAGGCAUGCAGUCCAGACUGUGGAGGGCACUCCCUCGAUAGAUGGCAGGUAUCCCUGCACCAAGCCCCUCCACCCAGCCAGGCUAUUGUGGCCUGAAGAAGGUCUGUUACCAAAGGACACCUUGGAGCUCUAGGAUUUCCCCCAUGACAUUGUUACAUGAACAUUUGCUAAAGCUCAAAGACCUUCUACUUGACAUCAGAUAGACCCAAAACCACAAAGAAAGCCAUUUCACACAUUGGUCAACACCUACAUUUAAUCGUUGUGUCUUGGAAAGAAAUACAGGCGUCUUGGUCAUGGGAUGUUAACUCUUUUAUUAACUUAGGGUUAACAUUGUAUUUGCUCUGUGGAUUUCUUUUUGGAAGUUGUGGAUUCAAUAAACAGCUGGGUUUCCCCCAGCUCCUGGGGACAAGGCAAACGCAUUAUAGUCAAAGAGGGGAGCAGGACAAAAUGGAGAACAAGCUUGAAAAAAUUUAAGGCAAAUGUCACUCCCAUAUUAAAGGGAAUUGAUCAAGCAUAUCUGUGCAUUUCAAUGAAAAUAUAUGAAAUAUCUGUCAAAAUAAUUAACAUCGGUAAAAAUUAGAACAUGUAGCUUAUAAAAUGCCUACACAGGUUUGGCAGAAAUAAAUCCAACCGUGUCAUUAGGCUCAUAGUACACAGACACAGGAGCAUCUACCUUAAGAACAAGUUUCCUGAAGAGCAGAGGCCAAGUGUAUUUCAAAAGCAAUUCCACGAAAUGGGCGGUGAUAAGAUUAAUGAUUCACGGGUUGGGUUUACAUUUUGGCAAGAGGAAUUGCUUAGUCAAUGGGGCUCCUCUUGGCUGGUCCCUGGGAUGCUUCCUGGGGACCCUCCCCAGAAGGCUCUGCAUCAAGUAGAGGUGAUCAUUCGGGCCAGGAGGCUCCCAGAGAUGUGGUGACAAGGGGCGCUCAGCUCACCUACGGGACAGUGCGGCAGAGAAACAAAGGGUCUUCCCGUCCAGAUUUGGAACUGGGAUGUUCUAAGACAUCGCUGCAGUUCCAGAAGUAGCUGACUGUGUAGGAAUGGAUGCUCCAUCCCCAGUGGUCAUAUAUUUUAUGCCCCCCAAGUCUAUUUUAUUUACAGCCUGACCAAACCGUCCCCAGGCUGCUCCGCGGCAGGUGGGGGAGUAGGUGCGCGCUCGGCCGGGCAUCACGCGUGGGGAUGUCCCAGGCCUGGUGGGUGAGAUUCACUGUGAGGCUGCACAAAAGCACGGGGAGAAGAGUGGUGUGUGAAGCCAAGCAUCUUGCCUUUCUGCUUUGGUCUUGAAGAUUCAGUAAACUUAGGGUCCCAGAGGCUGCCCCGAAGCUGGAGCUAUGGAUUCCCAGAAUUCUUUGUGUUUCCAUCUUAAGUUUGCCAGAAGAAUGUAGCCAGCAAGCAGAGUUUGAGAGCCUGUCACUGUUUGAAGAACACCCCCUUAUGGCCCACCACCCAUCUGGGCUGGGUGCUCAGAGAUGCUGCAGAAGGACCUUGCUCCUGGGGAGAUAAAGCUGUCAGACGCAGGGCACCCCCCAAACAGGCUGUGGCUGACGGUCUGGAGAAAGGCUGCUGAACGGACGGACGGACGGACAGGAGGGGCCCUGCCCCCUGCAGUCGGCUGGGUGCCCCUACCCAGCCAGGAGGCAUGUGCGGCAGCAGAACUGAAUGAACAGCUUCCGUUCACAGAGCCGGUUGGACUUCACCAUCUCGCAGAACAUCUCGUCAGCUGGGGUCCCACCAGGAAAGAGAAAGGAGGGAUGUGUCAGACUUCGGGGCCUGACAUGUUCCAACCAUCCCAUUUCACCAGGCCCCAGCGAUGGGCUGGGCAAGGGUCAUGGAAGAAGCUGGGGGCGGCAGC